This 520-nucleotide ribosomal RNA is filed under the name uncultured Glomus. RNAcentral's name for it is "SSU rRNA". It matches the Rfam family "Eukaryotic small subunit ribosomal RNA", at positions 569 to 1095 of the family's 1831-position model. Lineage: Eukaryota; Fungi; Glomeromycota; Glomeromycetes; Glomerales; Glomeraceae. The record is from RNAcentral.
AGCAGCCGCGGUAAUUCCAGCUCCAAUAGCGUAUAUUAAAGUUGUUGCAGUUAAAAAGCUCGUAGUUGAAUUUCGAGAUCGGCUUACUGGUCGUGCUAUUGUACGUACUGGUAUAAUCGGUUUCUCCUUUCUGACGAACUAUAAUGCCAUUAAUUUGGUGUUUUAGGGAAUCAGGACUGUUACUUUGAAAAAUUAGAGUGUUUAAAGCAGGCUCACGCUUGAAUACAUUAGCAUGGAAUAACGGAAUAGGACGUUUGAUUCUAUUUUGUUGGUUUCUAGGAUCGACGUAAUGAUUAAUAGGGAUAGUUGGGGGCAUUAGUAUUCAAUUGUCAGAGGUGAAAUUCUUGGAUUUAUUGAAGACUAACUACUGCGAAAGCAUUUGCCAAGGAUGUUUUCAUUAAUCAAGAACGAAAGUUAGGGGAUCGAAGACGAUCAGAUACCGUCGUAGUCUUAACCAUAAACUAUGCCGACUAGGGAUCGGAUGAUGUAAUUUUUAAUGACUCAUUCGCGCCUUACGGGA